UCCCUGGUGGUCCAGUGGUUAGGAUUCAGCACUUACACUGCUGUGGCCUGGGUUCAAUCCCUGGUUGGGGAA
Molecule: non-coding RNA, 72 nt
Organism: Physeter macrocephalus (sperm whale)
Lineage: Eukaryota; Metazoa; Chordata; Mammalia; Artiodactyla; Physeteridae
Source: the annotation of a RefSeq genome assembly